AUAAAAUAACGCCAUUAAAAUUUGAAUUUAAUUGUAGAAAAUUCAAAAUUAAGAGAGAUGAGAUUAAUUGAACCAAGUUAAAUUUAAGAUUAAAAUUGAACCUGAACAUAAAUUUAAGAAUGAAAUCAAGCCUUUGGCUACAAAAUUAGUUUAUUAUCAUUCUUACUUCGAAAUUCUAGCGAAGAUGAACAUUUGUCUAAUAUUUUAUUAGUUGCAAAAGGGCUCUUACACAAGUUGUACACUGUUCUACAUGAUAUUUACUUGCAUACAUUCUCACUAAUGAUAUAAUGCCCUGUGAUUGUCCAACAGUUCGAUGCUAAUCCCUUGAUGAUAUGGAACAGUGUAUUUUGAUCUUUUACACGUUUGUAUGGACAUGCAUGAUUCUAAAGAUUUUGAAAUACAUGCGUCCCUAAGAAACUAAACUAAACUUCAAGCCCAAAGGGCAAGGAUGGACAUUGCAGUGGAGCCAAGAGUUAGAGCAAUGAAAGAUGUCUUCUUCAACCAUGGAGUAGAAUUCAUCAACUUGUUAUGGAAAAAAUCAACAGCUAUGAGAUCAACAAGACCCAUGUAUAUAAGAAUGCCUGAAGAGAGGGACCCCAAUAAUCCUUCCAUAAUCAAGGCAUUAGGAUUACUGUCAUCAUACCCUGUCAAUGAAAAAACAAUCAUCCCUAACACUAUACCUACUGGUGUAGUUACUGAAAACAUGAAGCACAUGUAGGCCACUGUUCCAAAGCUAAAUCCUGCCUGAGCGAUGCAGCCACCGAGGCCCAUCCCUUCGAAGAUCUGGUGAAACGCAAGAGCAGCAACAAGAGGCCUGAUGGUGCACUGAUUCUGCGACAUACCCAUUGUUACCCCAAUUAUCACUGAGUGAAAUAUAAUCCCAAUCUCCAAAACCUGUGAAACCAAUCUCUGCUUUAGCUUCACCAAAUAUUCCUCUCCUCCUUUCUCAGCCAACUCAGCUUUGGACAAUUCUCCCACCUUCUUUCCCACAAUUUCCUCCUGUGUCCCAACCGGAGUAUAAUCCCCAAUCUGCUUCUCUUCACCGCCAUGGCCAUGACCAUGACUGUGUUCCACGUGCGCACUCGCCGUUAUGUCCACUAACAAAGCAAGUAAAGCACCGAUCAAGGUAACCAAUCCAGCGAAAGGAAAGUCCUUCCAGGGAUGCUUGGAGGCUACGUGGCAAUUAGAGAGGGCAUCGUAAGCAUCAGGGAGGACGUGUACUAAAGAGGUGGACAAAAUUACACCGGCAGCAAAGCAUUUGAUCACUAGAAUCGCCUUAUCGUAAAGGGGCUUACCAUGAAAAUAACGAGCUAAGAAUACCGGAGAAGAGAUGCCUAUAACGCUAGUAAAGAAGAUUACGAUGACAGAGAUUAGCUUCAGAUGGGUUGCCGCCUUGCUGUCCCGGCAGCUCAGGGCUCGAGCCGUGUCAGUCACGCAAGCCAACGAAGCUGCCAUGGAAAAAAAGAGAGAACGCAACCCACGCAAGUGCGAUUGUGUUAGGGAUUAGACGAGAGCCAGAUAGAGAGAGAGAAGGGAUUUGGGAGUCUAUGAUAAGUGU
This 1558-nucleotide unclassified non-coding RNA is filed under the name Hevea brasiliensis (rubber tree). The record is from RNAcentral. Lineage: Eukaryota; Viridiplantae; Streptophyta; Magnoliopsida; Malpighiales; Euphorbiaceae.